AAGUCGUAACAAGGUUUCCGUAGGUGAACCUGCGGAAGGAUCAUUAACACGUAUCCACGUAUCAAACCAACCUACCACGAACUGAUCUCCCCGUUGCACAAUCCUGGCUGUUCUCAAGGCAUUCACUUGUCUUGGGUUCUGGCUCGCGAAAGCUCGUCGAAUGGACUAUAAAUGGAGCCCUCUCGGGCAUCGUCUGUUCGACUGUUCCUCGAGAACGAGAGUGUGUAGCAUUGGAUUGUCCGGGCUUUUACCCAUCAUUCCAUUCGAAUGUACCCAUUUUUUCCAUUCAUGGUCUGAUACCCAUACCUAUUUCACCCUAUGUUGCAUAAUUGACUGAGGAACUUAACAUUCGCUAGAGAAAUCUAGCUGAAUGGAUCUAAGAUUUAUCUUAACUAAGCACAACUCUUAGCAAUGGAUAUCUUGGUUCUC
This 429-nucleotide unclassified non-coding RNA is filed under the name fungal sp. Its description in RNAcentral is "partial internal transcribed spacer region". The stretch from base 1 to 46 matches the Rfam family "Eukaryotic small subunit ribosomal RNA", at positions 1786 to 1831 of the family's 1831-position model. The record is from RNAcentral. Lineage: Eukaryota; Fungi.